Molecule: ribosomal RNA, 734 nt
Filed under: Enterobacter sp. TY4
Lineage: Bacteria; Pseudomonadati; Pseudomonadota; Gammaproteobacteria; Enterobacterales; Enterobacteriaceae
Description: bacterial SSU rRNA
Rfam family: Bacterial small subunit ribosomal RNA
Source: RNAcentral
AACAGGAUUAGAUACCCUGGUAGUCCACGCCGUAAACGAUGUCGACUUGGAGGUUGUGCCCUUGAGGCGUGGCUUCCGGAGCUAACGCGUUAAGUCGACCGCCUGGGGAGUACGGCCGCAAGGUUAAAACUCAAAUGAAUUGACGGGGGCCCGCACAAGCGGUGGAGCAUGUGGUUUAAUUCGAUGCAACGCGAAGAACCUUACCUACUCUUGACAUCCAGAGAAUUCGCUAGAGAUAGCUUAGUGCCUUCGGGAACUCUGAGACAGGUGCUGCAUGGCUGUCGUCAGCUCGUGUUGUGAAAUGUUGGGUUAAGUCCCGCAACGAGCGCAACCCUUAUCCUUUGUUGCCAGCGCGUAAUGGCGGGAACUCAAAGGAGACUGCCGGUGAUAAACCGGAGGAAGGUGGGGAUGACGUCAAGUCAUCAUGGCCCUUACGAGUAGGGCUACACACGUGCUACAAUGGCGUAUACAAGGAGAAGCGAACUCGCGAGAGCAAGCGGACCUCAUAAAGUGCGUCGUAGUCCGGAUUGGAGUCUGCAACUCGACUCCAUGAAGUCGGAAUCGCUAGUAAUCGUAGAUCAGAAUGCUACGGUGAAUACGUUCCCGGGCCUUGUACACACCGCCCGUCACACCAUGGGAGUGGGUUGCAAAAGAAGUAGGUAGCUUAACCUUCGGGAGGGCGCUUACCACUUUGUGAUUCAUGACUGGGGUGAAGUCGUAACAAGGUAAGCCGU